This 465-nucleotide ribosomal RNA is filed under the name Vreelandella stevensii. Its description in RNAcentral is "partial 16S ribosomal RNA". It matches the Rfam family "Bacterial small subunit ribosomal RNA", at positions 338 to 795 of the family's 1533-position model. The record is from RNAcentral. Lineage: Bacteria; Pseudomonadati; Pseudomonadota; Gammaproteobacteria; Oceanospirillales; Halomonadaceae.
CCUACGGGCGGCAGCAGUGGGGAAUAUUGGACAAUGGGCGAAAGCCUGAUCCAGCCAUGCCGCGUGUGUGAAGAAGGCCUUCGGGUUGUAAAGCACUUUCAGUGGGGAAGAAAGCCUUGGGGCUAAUACCCUCGAGGAAGGACAUCACCCACAGAAGAAGCACCGGCUAACUCCGUGCCAGCAGCCGCGGUAAUACGGAGGGUGCGAGCGUUAAUCGGAAUUACUGGGCGUAAAGCGCGCGUAGGCGGUCUGAUAAGCCGGUUGUGAAAGCCCCGGGCUCAACCUGGGAACGGCAUCCGGAACUGUCAGGCUAGAGUGCAGGAGAGGAUGGUAGAAUUCCCGGUGUAGCGGUGAAAUGCGUAGAGAUCGGGAGGAAUACCAGUGGCGAAGGCAGCCUUCUGGACUGACACUGACGCUGAGGUGCGAAAGCGUGGGUAGCAAACAGGAUUAGAUACCCCGGUAGUC